This is a non-coding RNA of Oryctolagus cuniculus (rabbit), 130 nucleotides long. NCBI's taxonomy places the organism in Eukaryota, Metazoa, Chordata, Mammalia, Lagomorpha, Leporidae. The record is from Rfam.
AAUCCUGUUAGACCUGGGAUUUCGACACUUUCAGUCUGAAAAACUGCGCGUCCACUCAGAACCCCAGAAGGACUUAGGCACUGCCCUUUCCUGCUGAGAAGCUGGAACAUUUGGCAUUUGGAGCAUUGAG